Long non-coding RNA from Oncorhynchus tshawytscha (Chinook salmon), 381 nucleotides. The record is from Ensembl. Lineage: Eukaryota; Metazoa; Chordata; Actinopteri; Salmoniformes; Salmonidae.
AGGAACAUAGGAGAGAGAGAAGAGGGAAAAGGGAGUAAAUAGAGAAAAGGAUAGAAGAGAUGUGAGGGGUAAAUAUAGAAGAGGAGAGGGGGAUGUGAGGGGUAAAUAUAGAAGAGGGUAGAGGGAUGUGAGGGGUAAAUAUAGAAGAGGGGAGAGGGAUGUGAGGGGUAAAUAUAGAAGAGGGGAGAGGGAUGUGGGGGGUAAAUAUAGAAGAAGAGAGAGGGAUGUGAGGGGUAAAUAUAGAAGAGGGGAGAGGGAUGUGAGGUGUAAAUAUAGAAGAGGCGAGAGGGAUGUGAGGGGUAAAUAUAGAAGAAGAGAGAGGGAUGUGAGGGGUAAAUAUAGAAGAAGAGAGAGGGAUGUGAGGGGUAAAUAUAGAAGAAG